RNAcentral lists this ribosomal RNA (270 nucleotides) under uncultured bacterium. RNAcentral describes it as "partial 16S ribosomal RNA". It matches the Rfam family "Bacterial small subunit ribosomal RNA", at positions 30 to 310 of the family's 1533-position model. The record is from RNAcentral.
AUUGAACGCUGGCGGCAUGCCUAACACAUGCAAGUCGAACGAGGGUAGCAAUACCUUAGUGGCGGACGGGUGAGGAAUACGUAGGAAUUUGCCCUUAAGUGGGGGAUAGCCCGGGGAAACCCGGAUUAAUACCGCAUGAUCUCGAAAGAGCAAAGUGGGGGAUCGCAAGACCUCACGCUUUUGGAGAAGCCUACGUCGGAUUAGCUAGUUGGUGAGGUAAUGGCUCACCAAGGCUACGAUCCGUAACUGGUCUGAGAGGAUGAUCAGUCA